AAAGUGAGAAGGUCUGCUGACAGGAGGAUUCGGCAGGCACGCACCCCCUCGUUACAUGCGGUGCAGGAGCGGAGGCGUGCGCUCCUUGUGAGCGCGCUGCCGGCAGUAAACAACUGCUGUGGAAAUACUCCUGUACUCUGAAGAAAUCGUGACUGUACUAAUGCUCAGGAUUCACUCAGGUGAUAAUGUUCUUCUGCAAGUAACAACUAGCCCCAGCUGUUGAAACAUUGUGAAGAUUGAUUGUACAGAUGAAGAGUUACUUCAUGUGAUGCAACUCCAAUCAGUAGUCCAAAUACAGGAUUACUUCCAGCCUCUUUGUUUUGAGAACUGCCUUACUUACUACGACAUGGGUUUGAGCAUGCUGGUGGGCUUUGUCCCUAACAGGCAUUAGUUUGGUAGAUCAUUUUCAGGAUUGAUAGUUUUGUAAGCUCAAAGCAG
Molecule: long non-coding RNA, 438 nt
Organism: Neopelma chrysocephalum (saffron-crested tyrant-manakin)
Lineage: Eukaryota; Metazoa; Chordata; Aves; Passeriformes; Pipridae
Exons: 3
Source: RefSeq, a predicted model, not a curated record